RNAcentral lists this ribosomal RNA (465 nucleotides) under uncultured bacterium. RNAcentral describes it as "partial 16S ribosomal RNA". It matches the Rfam family "Bacterial small subunit ribosomal RNA", at positions 28 to 507 of the family's 1533-position model. The record is from RNAcentral.
GACGAACGCUGGCGGCGUGCUUAACACAUGCAAGUCGAACGGAAAGGCCCUGCUUGCAGGGUACUCGAGUGGCGAACGGGUGAGUAACACGUGGGUGAUCUGCCCUGCACUUCGGGAUAAGCCUGGGAAACUGGGUCUAAUACCGGAUAGGAGCCAUUUUUAGUGUGAUGGUUGGAAAGUUUUUUCGGUGUAGGAUGAGCUCGCGGCCUAUCAGCUUGUUGGUGGGGUAAUGGCCUACCAAGGCGGCGACGGGUAGCCGGCCUGAGAGGGUGGACGGCCACAGUGGGACUGAGAUACGGCCCAGACUCCUACGGGAGGCAGCAGUGGGGAAGAUUGCACAAUGGGCGCAAGCCUGAUGCAGCGACGCCGCGGGGGGGAUGACGGCCUUCGGGUUGUAAACUCCUUUCGCUAGGGACGAAGCUUUUUGUGACGGUACCUAGAUAAGAAGCACCGGCUAACUACGUG